AUUGAACGCUGGCGGCAUGCCUUACACAUGCAAGUCGAACGGUAACGCGGGGCAACCUGGCGACGAGUGGCGAACGGGUGAGUAACGCAUCGGAACGUGCCCAGUAGUGGGGGAUAGCCCGGCGAAAGCCGGAUUAACACCGCAUACGACCUACGGGUGAAAGGGGGGGAUCGCAAGACCUCUCGCUAUUGGAGCGGCCGAUGUCAGAUUAGGUAGUUGGUGGGGUAAAGGCCUACCAAGCCUGCGAUCUGUAGCUGGUCUGAGAGGACGACCAGCCACCCUGGGACGGAGACACGGCCCAGACUCCUACGGGAGGCAGCAGUGGGGAAUUUUGGACAAUGGGCGCAAGCCUGAUCCAGCCAUGCCGCGUGCGGGAAGAAGGCCUUCGGGUUGUAAACCGCUUUUGUCAGGGAAGAAAAGCCUUGGGUUAAUACCCUGGGGUGAUGACGGUACCUGAAGAAUAAGCACCGGCUAACUACGUGCCAGCCGCCGCGGUAA
Molecule: ribosomal RNA, 498 nt
Filed under: uncultured bacterium
Lineage: Bacteria
Description: partial 16S ribosomal RNA
Rfam family: Bacterial small subunit ribosomal RNA
Source: RNAcentral